CCUACGGUGCGCAGCAGUGAGGAAUAUUGGUCAAUGGUCGGGAGACUGAACCAGCCAAGCCGCGUGAGGGAGGAAGGUACAGAGUAUCGUAAACCUCUUUUGUCAGGGAACAAAGACUGGGACGCGUCCCCGGAUGAGUGUACCUGAAGAAACAGCAUCGGCUAACUCCGUUCCAGCAGCCGCGGUAAUACGGGGGCUGCGAGCGUUAUCCGGAGUUAUUGGGUUUAAAGGGUGCGCAGGCGGUCUGUUAAGUCAGCGGUAAAAGCCCGGGGCCAAACCCCGGCCCGCCGUUGAAACUGGCAGUCUCGAGUUGGAGAGAAGUAUGCGGAAUGCGCGGUGUAGCGGUGAAAUGCAUAGAUAUCGCGCAGAACUCCGAUUGCGAAGACAGCAUGCCGGCUCCACACUGACGCUGAGGCACGAAAGCGUGGGUAUCGAACAGGAUUAGAUACCCUUGUAGUC
This 459-nucleotide ribosomal RNA is filed under the name uncultured bacterium. RNAcentral's name for it is "partial 16S ribosomal RNA". It matches the Rfam family "Bacterial small subunit ribosomal RNA", at positions 338 to 795 of the family's 1533-position model. The record is from RNAcentral.